RNAcentral lists this unclassified non-coding RNA (550 nucleotides) under Hevea brasiliensis (rubber tree). Lineage: Eukaryota; Viridiplantae; Streptophyta; Magnoliopsida; Malpighiales; Euphorbiaceae. The record is from RNAcentral.
ACAAGGUUCAUCUAACACCAGCAAAAUUUGUAAAACUCCAGACAAAUUUCAUGCAAGAACAGAGGAGAACAUCCAUCAAAAUAAAAACAAUAAAUUCUCAAUAAAAAAUGUAUUUGGUUCACAGGCAUAAAAUGGCAAAAUCCUUGCAUGGCCAUUGCCAUUAUAUUCACUGAUGUCAAACCUGAAGUGCUCAAAUUAAUCAACUAUAUUAUGUGCUUGGAGACUAGCAAAUUCUCGUUUCCUGCUGAGGUAUAAACUGACAGUAAAAGGGCUAAGCCUAGCUUGCAAAUGACCAGCAAGGCCACCAACAACAAAUUAUCAUGAAUCUGGAGAAGACAGAGGAAGAGUUUCAGGCUUCUCAUAUUUUUGUUCAAGAAGUCACUACAAGCCUUUGUGGCUUUGUCCUUCUUACACAAUUUUUUCCACCUAAAUAUGUUAGAAAAAAACCUUCAAAAACAAGGCAAAACUCAAGUGUGUUUGUGUGUUUUUCAUUUUACAUUUUUAAUCUCAAGGUGUGAUAGCAUACUCUGUAGAUCUUCCAGCAGCUGAG